This 531-nucleotide ribosomal RNA is filed under the name uncultured Flavobacterium sp. RNAcentral's name for it is "bacterial SSU rRNA". It matches the Rfam family "Bacterial small subunit ribosomal RNA", at positions 90 to 619 of the family's 1533-position model. Lineage: Bacteria; Pseudomonadati; Bacteroidota; Flavobacteriia; Flavobacteriales; Flavobacteriaceae. The record is from RNAcentral.
AGAGACCGGCGCACGGGUGCGUAACGCGUAUGCAAUCUACCUUUUACAGGGGAAUAGCCCAGAGAAAUUUGGAUUAAUGCCCCAUAGUAUAGUUUUUUCGCAUGAAGAGAUUAUUAAAGUUCCAACGGUAAAAGAUGAGCAUGCGUCCCAUUAGCUAGAUGGUAAGGUAACGGCUUACCAUGGCGACGAUGGGUAGGGGUCCUGAGAGGGAGAUCCCCCACACUGGUACUGAGACACGGACCAGACUCCUACGGGAGGCAGCAGUGAGGAAUAUUGGUCAAUGGACGCAAGUCUGAACCAGCCAUGCCGCGUGCAGGAUGACGGUCCUAUGGAUUGUAAACUGCUUUUGUACGAGAAGAAACACUCCUUCGUGAAGGAGCUUGACGGUAUCGUAAGAAUAAGGAUCGGCUAACUCCGUGCCAGCAGCCGCGGUAAUACGGAGGAUCCAAGCGUUAUCCGGAAUCAUUGGGUUUAAAGGGUCCGUAGGCGGUUUAGUAAGUCAGUGGUGAAAGCCCAUCGCUCAACGGUGGA